Molecule: ribosomal RNA, 288 nt
Filed under: uncultured bacterium
Lineage: Bacteria
Description: partial 16S ribosomal RNA
Rfam family: Bacterial small subunit ribosomal RNA
Source: RNAcentral
AAUGAACGUUGGCGGCGUGGAUUAGGCAUGCAAGUCGCGCGCGAAACGUAGCAAUACGUGGAGAGCGGCGUAAGGGAGAGUAAUGCAUGGUUAGCUACCCCCGGGACUGGGAUAGCGGCGGGAAACUGCCGGUAAUACCAGAUGACAUCUUCGGAUCAAAGGUGUGAAUCCGCCCGGGGAGCGACCAUGUCCUAUCAGCUUGUUGGCGGGUAACGCCACAAGGCAAAGCGGGUAUGGGGCGUGAGAGCGUGCCCCCACUCACUGGGACUGAGACACUGCCCAGACACC